GACGAACGCUGGCGGCGUGCUUAAUACAUGCAAGUCAACUUGACUUUAGAUAGCAAUAUCGAAAAGUAGGGUGGCGCACGGGUGCGUAACGCGUAGGUAAUCUGCCUGAGGUCUGACAUAACCCGUCGAAAGGCGGGCUAACAUCAGAUGAUAUAUAAUCACGACAUCGUGGAAAUAUCAAAUCUUCGGAGCCUUGGGAUGAGCCUGCGUCUGAUUAGGUAGUUGGCGGAGUAAUAGCCCACCAAGCCUACGAUCAGUAGCUGGUCCGAGAGGAUGAUCAGCCACACUGGAACUGAGACACGGUCCAGACUCCUACGGGA
This 320-nucleotide ribosomal RNA is filed under the name uncultured bacterium. RNAcentral describes it as "bacterial SSU rRNA". It matches the Rfam family "Bacterial small subunit ribosomal RNA", at positions 28 to 346 of the family's 1533-position model. The record is from RNAcentral.